RNAcentral lists this ribosomal RNA (1164 nucleotides) under Triticum aestivum (bread wheat). RNAcentral describes it as "partial small subunit ribosomal RNA". Lineage: Eukaryota; Viridiplantae; Streptophyta; Magnoliopsida; Poales; Poaceae. The record is from RNAcentral.
AUGGACGUGAAAUCGGCUUUCCUGAACAGCACUCUUGAAGAGGUGGUGUAUGUGGCGCAGCCCCCUGGUUUUGCACGGCGGGGCGAGGAGGAGAAGGUGUACAAGCUAGAGAAGGCGCUCUAUGGUCUCCGGCAAGCUCCGCGUGCAUGGAACUCCAAACUAGACAGCAGCCUCGCAUCACUGGGCUUCACUCGCAGCAGGACUGAGCAUGCUGUGUACAUGCGUGGCACCGGAGCAUCUCAGCUGCUCGUCGGUGUCUAUGUGGAUGAUUUGGUCAUCACCGGAGCAAACCUACAGGAGCUGCGUCGUUUCAAGGAAGAAAUGAAGCACCUGUUCGAGAUGAGUGACCUCGGACUGUUGAGAUACUACCUCGGUCUCGAGGUGCACCAGAGCACGCUCGGCAUCACUAUCAACCAGGCGUCUUACGCUGAGAAGCUGCUGGACAAGGAGGGCAUGGCCGGCUGCAAGAGCCAUGUGCCGCUUGAACCAAACUGCAAGUUGAGCAAGGCGAGCUCAGCGCCACUCGCCGACGCCACGCUCUACAGGAGCAUCAUCGGCAGCCUUCGGUACCUGGUACACACACGCCCUGACAUAACCUAUGCAGUUGGCCUCACAAGCCGUUUCAUGGAGGCGCCGACUUCAGAGCAUUUCGCCACCGUGAAGCACAUCCUCCGGUACAUCGCUGGGACGCUCACUGUCGGCUGCACCUAUCGCCGCGGUGAUCGCCUAGAGCUCGAGGGUUUCAGCGACUCUGACAUGGACGGUGAUCUGGAUGACAGGAAGAGCACUUCUGGAGCAAUCUUCUUCCUCAGUGGCAGUCCAGUCAGUUGGCAAUCACAGAAACAAAGAGUGGUGGCGCUCUCCUCUUGCGAGGCAGAAUACAUUGCUGGUUCAACCGUGGCCUGCCAAGGGAUUUGGCUGGCGCGCAUGCUUGGAGAACUGCUGAACCAAGGUACAAAGGCAGUUAAAAUUUUCAUUGACAACAAAUCAGCUAUCUCGCUUGGGAAGGACCCUGUUCUGCACGACAGGAGCAAACACAUCGACCUCAGAUACCACUUCAUUCGUGAUCAUAUCGAGAAGGGUACUGUGGUGGUCGAGUUCGUCCAAUCUAGCGAUCAGAAGGCCGACAUCUUGACCAAGGCACUUGGGCGGACUCGUUUCUAG